AAUCAACGCUGGCGGCGUGCCUAACACAUGCAAGUCGAACGCGAAAGUCCCGCAAGGGGAUUAGUAGAGUGGCAAACGGGUGAGUAACACGUGGGUGACCUGCCUUCGAGCGGGGGAUAACGUCCCGAAAGGGACGCUAAUACCGCAUAACAUCCUGCCUUUUAAGAGGUGGAGAUCAAAGCCGGGGAUUCGCAAGAACCUGGCACUUGAAGAGGGGCCCGCGCCUGAUUAGCUAGUUGGUGGGGUAANGGCCUACCAAGGCAACGAUCAGUAUCCGGCCUGAGAGGGCGGACGGACACACUGGGACUGAGACACGGCCCAGACUCCUACGGGAGGGCAGCAGUGGGGAAUUGUUCGCAAUGGGCGCAAGCCUGACGACGCAACGCC
RNAcentral lists this ribosomal RNA (387 nucleotides) under uncultured bacterium. RNAcentral describes it as "bacterial SSU rRNA". It matches the Rfam family "Bacterial small subunit ribosomal RNA", at positions 32 to 398 of the family's 1533-position model. The record is from RNAcentral.